AGUGAACGCUGGCGGUAGGCCUAACACAUGCAAGUCGAACGGCAGCACAGUAAGAGCUUGCUCUUACGGGUGGCGAGUGGCGGACGGGUGAGGAAUACAUCGGAAUCUACCUUUUCGUGGGGGAUAACGUAGGGAAACUUACGCUAAUACCGCAUACGACCUACGGGUGAAAGCAGGGGAUCUUCGGACCUUGCGCGAUUGAAUGAGCCGAUGUCGGAUUAGCUAGUUGGCGGGGUAAAGGCCCACCAAGGCGACGAUCCGUAGCUGGUCUAAGAGGAUGAUCAGCCACACUGGAACUGAGACACGGUCCAGACUCCUACGGGAGGCAGCAGUGGGGAAUAUUGGACAAUGGGCGCAAGCCUGAUCCAGCCAUACCGCGUGGGUGAAGAAGGCCUUCGGGUUGUAAAGCCCUUUUGUUGGGAAAGAAAAGCAGCAGGUUAAUACCCCGCUGUUCUGACGGUACCCAAAGAAUAAGCACCGGCUAACUUCGUG
Molecule: ribosomal RNA, 492 nt
Filed under: uncultured bacterium
Lineage: Bacteria
Description: partial 16S ribosomal RNA
Rfam family: Bacterial small subunit ribosomal RNA
Source: RNAcentral